This 450-nucleotide ribosomal RNA is filed under the name uncultured bacterium. RNAcentral describes it as "bacterial SSU rRNA". It matches the Rfam family "Bacterial small subunit ribosomal RNA", at positions 28 to 507 of the family's 1533-position model. The record is from RNAcentral.
GAUGAACGCUGGCGGCGUGCCUAACACAUGCAAGUCGACCGGCGCACGGGUGAGUAACGCGUAUCCAACCUGCCCAUCACUUGGGGAUAACCUUGUGAAAGUAAGACUAAUACCCAAUGACGUCUCUAGAAGACAUCUGAAAGAGAUUAAAGAUUUAUCGGUGAUGGAUGGGGAUGCGUCUGAUUAGCUUGUUGGCGGGGUAACGGCCCACCAAGGCGACGAUCAGUAGGGGUUCUGAGAGGAAGGUCCCCCACAUUGGAACUGAGACACGGUCCAAACUCCUACGGGAGGCAGCAGUGAGGAAUAUUGGUCAAUGGACGAGAGUCUGAACCAGCCAAGUAGCGUGCAGGAUGACGGCCCUAUGGGUUGUAAACUGCUUUAUAAGGGAAUAAAGUGGGAGUCGUGACUCUUUUGCAUGUACCUUAUGAAUAAGGACCGGCUAAUUCCGUG